Astatotilapia calliptera (eastern happy) is the source of this 1354-nucleotide long non-coding RNA. NCBI's taxonomy places the organism in Eukaryota, Metazoa, Chordata, Actinopteri, Cichliformes, Cichlidae. The record is from Ensembl.
GCCUCUUCUGAUGCAAAGACUAUUCAGUUAAGCAAAGCAGAGCGGGUCAUCACUCUGGUCUGUGUGUCAGAGGCAAUCCAGGUAAGAGCAUUACGUAUUAUAUGUAUAACUUUAAAAAUAUAUUUAAUGCUUUGUCUAAAAGUUUUAAAGUAUUUCAUUGCUAUGAAACUUGUUCUUCCUAUUUUUCUAUAUGCUCUUUUUUUUUUAGAUAUUAAUGACAUUAAUUUCUCAGACUGUUCUUAACGGUUGUGAAUCCAGUCUGUUCUAGUAGAGAAUGGUUAUCAUUUAUCUCAUGCUUGGUUAUCUCCUCUCUGAUACUUAUGCGAAAUGUGAAAACAGCACUUUGUGUAAUGAUGAAGUGUUCAUCAGCAGCGAGCCAUCCAGCCCAAAUGAGGGUGACGACGUCACUCUCACAUGCAAUGAAAAAUGUGAAAAUUCAACUGUGACUUUUCAGUGGAAGAAAAAUAAGGCGGUCAAAGAAAAAGAAAAUAAUAAGACCUUUCUUAUCCAAAGUGCCCUUUCAAUUUCUGACAUAUACAUCUGCUCAGUAAAGUGCUCCCGUUACUGUUGUGAUUCUAAACCAUACACACUGUCUGUAAAAAACAACACUGUGAUCAUCUUGGUGGUCUGUGGUGUUGCAGCUUUGGCCCUUGUUUUGAUUAUGGGACUGAUUAUGAAGUGUAAGCUGAAAAGAGACAGUGAUAAACACAGGGAGAGGGUGAGACAGAGACAGGCUGGACAGGCUGCUGGUGGGCCAUAUCCUGUCACACCCAGAGAGUCCUAAAAAGAAAACAUUCUAUCAUAUUUUGAUAUAAUAAAUUCUGAUCUUAUGCAACAUAAUAUAUAUUUAUCUUUUUGAUAUUUCAGACUUUUGAAUGCUCACAAAUUGAAUAAAUACUCUUUAAUCUCUGUUUUUGAGUGCAUGUGUGCGUGUUUAAUCAGUUAAAGUCACACUUUUCCACAAUGUAGCGUUGCAUUUCUGUUAGUUUGCUCAGUUUAAAAAAAAAAGAACCUAGAAAUGUUUUAAUCCACACACAGGAUUGGCAUGCUCGCACUAAUCCUGCUGAAUGCUCCACUCACAGUGGCACACACUGCUCAGCUUUACAGUGGCUUGCAUGUAAUGGAUAUAUGGGAGUGUAAUGCUGUCUACUCCUAUCCAUGAGAGGGAUGAAUGUGGGAUUUGAAGAUUGACUUAUGAACAUAGUAAUAGCGUUAGGUGCCUCGAUUCAAUGUCAGGAUGCAAUGAUUUGAAGUUUAAGUGUUAAGCUCGGUCUUCAUGCUGCCAGAGUGCCUGGCAUUAGCAGUGUUUUGGGGGGGUUCCCCUCCCGGCCAUAUGGCAAAAACUUAUUUAUCC